Molecule: ribosomal RNA, 435 nt
Filed under: uncultured Clostridium sp.
Lineage: Bacteria; Bacillati; Bacillota; Clostridia; Eubacteriales; Clostridiaceae
Description: partial 16S ribosomal RNA
Rfam family: Bacterial small subunit ribosomal RNA
Source: RNAcentral
ACGGGAGGCAGCAGUGGGGAAUAUUGCGCAAUGGGGGAAACCCUGACGCAGCAACGCCGCGUGAAGGAUGAAGGUUUUCGGAUUGUAAACUUCUUUGACUGGGGACGAAAUUUGACGGUACCCAGAAAACAAGUCACGGCUAACUACGUGCCAGCAGCCGCGGUAAUACGUAGGUGACAAGCGUUAUCCGGAUUUACUGGGUGUAAAGGGCGUGUAGGCGGGUUUGCAAGUCAGCUGUGAAAUCCCGGGGCUCAACUCCGGAACUGCCUCUGAAACUGUAGAUCUUGAGUAUCGGAGAGGAAAGUGGAAUUCCCAGUGUAGCGGUGAAAUGCGUAGAUAUCGGGCGGAACACCGGUUGCGAAGGCGGUUUUCUGGACGACAACUGACGCUGAGGCACGAAAGUGUGGGGAGCAAACAGGAUUAGAUACCCUGGUA